AUGACGUGGACUGGCCGAGCGCCCACGGAGCCGCGGGGGACUAAUAUAUAGAAAUACGGCGACGACGGCGACGGCGACGCUGCGGGCUACGAGCGGCGCUACGGUUCGGCGGUCCCUCCCUCUCCCCCGAAUCCCCGCGCCUAGCCCGCGCCCUUCGUUGCGGCUGCGAUUCGGAGCAGCGCCGGGCCGAGCAGGGGCUGGCAGUGCUGCAGCUGCGAUUCGGAGCGGAGGCGUCCUGCGGUGGCAUCCAGCGGCGUCCAACGGCGGCUGUCGUGGUCGAUUGAAGAGCGUCCCCCCGCGUCUCCUCCGUAUGCAGAUCUUGAUGAUUAUUUUUUCCUGUUGUGGCCGUGAAGCAGCAGCGACGCUGAGGAAUUGCGGUGACAUGACACGUGCACACACAUCCUCUCUCCCAUACUGAUUUUUCCGCAAAAUUCUCCUCCUAUGUUUUUUCCCGUGUUGUACAACAUGCAGAUCAUAGAUUGUGGAAGUUAUAUUUUUGUGUGCACAUAUGGGGUCUCUCUAAGUUUACGGAUUCCAUGUAGUUUUACAAGCAGGUGCCGGCGUGGUGGUGCUAAAUCCAAAAAUACUGGACACACGGUUUACUAACCUCUUAGUUCAGUAAUUGUUUUGGGAAUUCUAUGAAAUUUCUAUAGGGUGGAUCAUAUUAGCCCGCUUACAUGCUUUUCAGUAAUCUGCCAUGUUGUCUUUGUUGUUUUGGUCCAGUAAUUUUGAACUACUGGAAUGUGGCAGGAGGGUACCAUCAGAUUUUAUUUUUAGUAGUCCACCCAUUGCGUUCAGUAAUUUUAAUCCCUUUUUAGUAAUCCAUGUUUUGUUGGGUAGAGCAUUAUUAGUUAUAGAUUUUUCUUUUUUUGGUGUAGUUUGAUCUACUGGAAUGAUGCAGGAAGGUUUCAUCGGAUUUGAUUCAGCAGUCCAUCCAUUGAGUCUAUCAAUAGCCCAGCAAAAUUACUGACAAGUUUGAGUAGUAAAUUUAUUUUGUACACAGAGGGGUUUCAAACUUAUGCCGAGGGCGAACCUUAGUGUUGUUAUUCUUGAAGGCUUCAAAGUUAUAUCAAUCAGGGACAGCGAAGGCCGUCAGUUUCGGAUGGAUCUCACGCAAACCCCACCUUUCAGAUGAUGCGCAGGAUGGAGCGGGCACAGAAGAAUGAUAAUCCACCAAUGUUGUGUUGGUGUCUUGUACCCCGGGGAAGGAGGGUGAUUGUGUUGGUAAUUUUUGGUGUCAAUAUCCCAUCCCGAUUUUGGUGUUCAUGGAUGCGCAGUUUUUGAUUGGUGCAGUUGUUCUAGGGUUUCUUCGAUCUAAAUCGCGCUCGUGCUAGUUGUGAAGGAACGACGACGAUGAGAAAUCGAGAGCUUCAGGAGAUGGCUCCAGCAAGUCCAUAAUAAAGACACAAGCUUCAACUCAUGGAUAUGCCUCUACCUCUAACAAGUCAAUGACAAACCAUAAGAAGGAUGUGAUGAUGCAGAAUGGCACGUAUAAAUUAGGAUCUAUUUUUUUCGUGUAGCAUAGGAUGUGUGCCUGGGUGGAGAAUGGCAAUUGAAACAAAUAUGUAUACAUUAUAAAUUCUUUUUGAAACUCUGUGAUUUCGGCAAUUCAGUAAUUCUGAACUACGUAUGACCUGCGUCUGGAUAAAUGUGUGGAUCAUUUUUUAUAUCCCAAACCCCAAUGUAUACCUUGCCUGUAUCAGUAA
Molecule: long non-coding RNA, 1706 nt
Organism: Panicum virgatum (switchgrass)
Lineage: Eukaryota; Viridiplantae; Streptophyta; Magnoliopsida; Poales; Poaceae
Exons: 5
Source: RefSeq, a predicted model, not a curated record